RNAcentral lists this ribosomal RNA (399 nucleotides) under uncultured bacterium. Its description in RNAcentral is "bacterial SSU rRNA". It matches the Rfam family "Bacterial small subunit ribosomal RNA", at positions 357 to 774 of the family's 1533-position model. The record is from RNAcentral.
GGGAAUCUUGCACAAUGGGGGCAACCCUGAUGCAGCGACGCCGCGUGAGCGAUGAAGCCCUUCGGGGCGUAAAGCUCUUUCGACCGGAACGAUAAUGACGGUACCGGGAGAAGAAGCUGCGGCUAACUACGUGCCAGCAGCCGCGGUAAUACGUAGGCAGCAAGCGUUGUUCGGAGUUACUGGGCGUAAAGAGUGCGUAGGCGGUUUUUAAGUUCGGUGUGAAAUCUCCCGGCUUAACUGGGAGGGUGCGCCGAAGACUGGGAAGCGGGAGGGUGGGAAAGGCAGGCGGAAUUCCUGGUGUAGCGGUGAAAUGCGUAGAUAUCAGGAGGAACACCGGCGGUGUAGACGGCUUGCUAGACCAUAACUGACGCUGAGGCACGAAAGCGUGGGUAGCAAACA